GAUGAACGCUGGCGGCGUGCCUAAUACAUGCAAGUCGAGCGAACGGACGAGAAGCUUGCUUCUCUGAUGUUAGCGGCGGACGGGUGAGUAACACGUGGAUAACCUACCUAUAAGACUGGGAUAACUUCGGGAAACCGGAGCUAAUACCGGAUAAUAUUUUGAACCGCAUGGUUCAAAAGUGAAAGACGGUCUUGCUGUCACUUAUAGAUGGAUCCGCGCUGCAUUAGCUAGUUGGUAAGGUAACGGCUUACCAAGGCAACGAUGCAUAGCCGACCUGAGAGGGUGAUCGGCCACACUGGAACUGAGACACGGUCCAGACUCCUACGGGAGGCAGCAGUAGGGAAUCUUCCGCAAUGGGCGAAAGCCUGACGGAGCAACGCCGCGUGAGUGAUGAAGGUCUUCGGAUCGUAAAACUCUGUUAUCAGGGAAGAACAUAUGUGUAAGUAACUGUGCACAUCUUGACGGUACCUAAUCAGAAAGCCACGGUAACUAGUGCCAGAGCCGCGGUAAUACGUAGUGGCAAGCGUUAUCCGGAAUUAUUCGGGCGUAAAGCGCGCGUAGACGGAACAAAGGUCUGACUGUGAAAAGCCCCAGGUCCAACCGUGGCAGGGUCAUUGGAACACUGGGAAAACUCGCAGUGCAGACAGCAGGA
RNAcentral lists this ribosomal RNA (652 nucleotides) under uncultured Staphylococcus sp. RNAcentral's name for it is "bacterial SSU rRNA". It matches the Rfam family "Bacterial small subunit ribosomal RNA", at positions 28 to 666 of the family's 1533-position model. Lineage: Bacteria; Bacillati; Bacillota; Bacilli; Caryophanales; Staphylococcaceae. The record is from RNAcentral.